This 428-nucleotide ribosomal RNA is filed under the name uncultured bacterium. Its description in RNAcentral is "partial 16S ribosomal RNA". It matches the Rfam family "Bacterial small subunit ribosomal RNA", at positions 354 to 796 of the family's 1533-position model. The record is from RNAcentral.
GUGGGGAAUAUUGGGCAAUGGGCGAAAGCCUGACCCAGCAACGCCGCGUGAAGGAAGAAGGCCUUCGGGUUGUAAACUUCUUUUACCAGGGACGAAACAAAUGACGGUACCUGGUGAAUAAGCCACGGCUAACUACGUGCCAGCAGCCGCGGUAAUACGUAGGUGGCGAGCGUUAUCCGGAUUUAUUGGGUGUAAAGGGCGUGUAGGCGGGACAGCAAGUCAGAUGUGAAAACCAGAGGCUCAACCUCUGGCCUGCAUUUGAAACUGUUGUUCUUGAGUGUCGGAGAGGUAAUCGGAAUUCCGUGUGUAGCGGUGAAAUGCGUAGAUAUACGGAGGAACACCAGUGGCGAAGGCGGAUUACUGGACGAUAACUGACGCUGAGGCGCGAAAGCGUGGGGAGCAAACAGGAUUAGAUACCCCGGUAGUCC